UUCCAACUUUUUUAUUUGAAUUAGAAACAGGAUUGUUUUACAUGACAAUCCCUGUUCCCUUCUCCCACCCGUCCUCCCCUACCCCCCCCAACUAAAACCUUAUCUGUCACAUAUCUUUUCUGCUACCACUGGAUGGUGAGGCCUUCGUAGGGUGUCAUCAGAGUCUUUCUUAUUCUUUGGGAUAGGACCUAGGCCCACCCCCGUGUGUCUUGGCUCAGGGAGUAUUCCUCUAUAUGGAAUGGGCUCCCAAAGUCUACACCUAUGCUAGAGAUAAAUACUGGGUUUCUACAGGAGGUCCCAUAGAUUUCUGAGGUUUCCUCACAGAAACCCAUGUUCUUGGGGUCUGGAUUAGUCCCAUGCUGGUAUUCCAGCUACCAGACUGGGGAGCAAGAGUUCCUGGAUGUUUAGGUCAGUGUGUUUCACCAGCCUGGUCUGGACCUCUGUGGUCUUCACUGGUCCUUCUCUGCAUCUGGGUUCCAGUUCAGAUCAGUGAUUAGUUAUGGGUGUCUGCUUCUACUUCCACCAGCUGCUGGAUGAAGGCAUAUAAGUCAGUCAUCAAUCUCAUAAUCAGGGGAGGGCAUUUAAGAUAGCCUCUCCUCCGUUGCUGAGAUAGUUAGCUGGUGUCAUCUUUGUAGAUCUCCAGACAUUUCCCUAGUGCCUGAUUUCUCAGUAAAUCAAAAAUGUCUCCCUCUAUUAUGAUAUCUCCAUUCUUGUUAUCAUGUAAUCUUCCCCUGACUCAUACUUUCUGCACCCUCAUGUCCUCGUCAUCCCUCUUCUUCUCCCCUUCUCAUUCUCCUAGCUCCCUCCCCCUGGAAUCUUGAAAUUUGCUGGCAAAUGAACUGAACUAGAAGAAACCAUCCUGAGUGAGGUAACCCAGUCACAAAAAGACAAACAUGAGCCUUCAUCAAGUAGUUGAUGGAAGCAGAAGCAGAUACCCACAGCUAAGCACUGGGUCAAACUCCUGGAAUCCAGUUUCAGAGAUGGAGGAGUGAACAAGAAAGCGGUCAAGAUCAUGCUGGGAAAACCUGCAGAAACAGCUGACCUGAGAAAGUGGGAACUCAAGGAUCCCAGUCUGACAGCUGGGGAACCAACAUAGGACCAAAACAGGUCCCCUGAACCUGGGUGUCAGCUAGGAGCACUGGGCAGUCUAUGGGGCCUCUGGCAGUUAAAUCAGGAUGUAUCCCUAGUGCACGAAUGGACUUCAGGGGCCCAUUUCCCAUGGAAGGAUACUCUCUUGGCCUAGAUACACAGGGGAGGGCCUAGUCCCUGCCAAAAAUGACUUCACAGAUUUUGAUGAUCCCUCAUGGAAGGCCUGACCCUCCCUGGGGAGUGGAUGGGAAUUGGGAUAGGGGUGUCGGUGAGGGGUAAGGGAGGGAGAGGGAACUGGGAUUGAUAUGUAAAAUAAGAUUGUUUCUAAUUUAAAUAAAAUUUAUAUUACAAAAAGAUUUCUGAGUGGUUUAGUGGAAUGGGGUGUGCCUGGCCCCAUCAGGAGAAAGAGCAAAGCCAAAGACUGACCGGGAAGGCAACUGGACAAGUAUCUUAUACACUUCAUGAACAAGAUUUUAAAUAUUGUGGAACACACACUCAUAAGUUACUAAAGCUAUAACACAUACUUAUAAGACAUAUAGUUUAUACAGUCAAUUCAUGUUACUAUGACACAUUUCGUUUUAAUUGAUGUGCUAGCUACCUGGACAUCUGAACUGUGAUGCCUGGACCAGUUCAAGGAUCUAUGGGAUUCAUUUUUUUUUGCAUGUGCAUGUGUGUAUAUGUGUUCACAUGUGUGCAGAUAUGGGUAUGAGUAGGAGGGCACAUAUAUGUGAAUGUGGAAGUAUACUUUUAUGGAUCCAUCUUAUAUACGAAGGCAGAAUCUCUCACUUGAAUUCAGAGAUUAAUGAUUUGGCUAAUCUGGCUCUGUAGCUUCUUUGGUAGGGAUGGGGAGUGUCCUCUGUCUCCUCUGCCUUCUCUGCCUCCUCAGCACUCUGAUUACAGCUUUUAUGUGGGUUCUGAGGACCCAGUCUUGUAUUUCACUCACUAAGCCUUCUCUCCAGCCCAGCUGGAGCAUUUAUAUCAACAAUUACUUCUCGAGGAGGUAAGGGCGAGUGGACAGAAAAACAGAUAAACAAAUGACUCCAAAGACUCUCAGCCAGGGUGGGUAUAUACCAAUUGUACUUCGUAACUGUUUAGUUAGAAUUUUGAGCUCACAAGUCCACUCUAGAAGGGCAACAGGCUGGGUCAGCUUAAGAUGCCUUCUCCUUUUGCAAAGGGCCCUGGCUCAGUUGGGUUUGGGUUGCAGGAUGAUCUGGUUCUCAUUUUCCCAAAGGUUUUUCCUGAGGUGCUGAUGGAGCCUUGUCCUCAGUCCUUAGUCUAUUAAAAACAUUGCUGAACUGCCGAGUACAUCCCAGACCUCAUCUGAGUCAUGGGCAGAGGGCAUUUUUCUGCUAAUCAUCCUGGGUCAUGAAAAAGAACCUCAUGGAAAUAGUCCAAGUAUUUCCAGAUCAUUUGGAGGGUGUGGGGUAGUCCAGAUAAACUAGACAUAGAAAUGCUAGCAUUACCUGCUGUUUGUUUACUUAUUGUUUUUCUGAAAUAAGGUCCCAGGUGUCCUAGCUAAAGAUGACUUUGAACUUCUGAUCCUCCAACUUCUACCUCCCAAGAGCUGGGAUUAUAGGCGUGCACUAACUACCACAGUGGUUUUAUGUGAUACUGGAACUUAAACUUAAACUCAGAAUUUUGUGUAUGUGGGCAAAUAUCCUACCAAGUUAGCCACAUCUGCAAUUCCGGUUGUAUCUUUUUAAUACAACUAAUUCAAGCACAUUCCUUUUCAGUGAGUCAUUAAGUCUGUUUCUGGCCAGUGAGCUGCUGGCUGACAGUUAAGUGGCUGGAGAUCUCUGUCUAAAGGACAGAGUGUCUUCCUUCAGUUUUGUUCCCAAGCUGUUCCGGUUAUUACACACAACCAUCCCUAGCCACCGUGCAUUGCUAGGGACAUUGGUUCUGGAAGUGUCCCAGCAAUCCUUCUUCCUUCCCUGCUUACUGUAAUCAAAUGUGCAGCUCACUGAGGUGAUCCAAGUGAAAGACUGGGUCAAGAGCAAGGAGUCAGGCCAUAAGGAGUGAUGUCACUUUAUGCAUAACACCCUGGCUACACUCAGGAGAUAUGUAAAGGGUCUUAGAUGACUAGAAUUGCUAGAUCUUAAAAAAUGUUUUUAGUUUUGCUUUUUGAAACUAUAUAUAUACAUAUAUAUAUGUAUAUAUAUAAUAUAUAUAAUUUCCCCCCUUCCCUUUCCUCCCUUCAACUCUCCUCAUGCACUCCCAUUUGUUCAUUCUUAAAUUCAUUGCUUCUAUUUCUUUGAUUGUUGUGUGGUCUCUGCAAUCUUGAACCUGAUCAUCAUUGUAUUUGCAAUCCUCCUGUUGUAUGACGCUCCUCCAAGCAUGGCAGUCAUUACUGUCUUAAUCCGAAUAACUGUGAUUACUUCCAAGAAACCAUCAUCAAGGUUGGGUCUGUUGAUGUUAG
This 3505-nucleotide long non-coding RNA is filed under the name Cricetulus griseus (Chinese hamster). Its description in RNAcentral is "lncRNA (ENSCGRG00015038713.1)". The record is from RNAcentral. Lineage: Eukaryota; Metazoa; Chordata; Mammalia; Rodentia; Cricetidae.